AGCAGCCGCGGUAAUUCCAGCUCCAAUAGCGUAUAUUAAAGUUGUUGCAGUUAAAAAGCUCGUAGUUGAAUUUCGGGAUCAAUUAAUUGGUCGUGCCUAUGGUACGUACUGAUUUUAUUGGUUUCUCCCUUCUGACGAACCAUGAUGUCAUUAAUUUGGUGUCGUGGAGAAUCAGGACUGUUACUUUGAAAAAAUUAGAGUGUUUAAAGCAAGCUAACGCUUGAAUACAUUAGCAUGGAAUAAUGAAAUAGGACGUUUGAUCCUAUUUUGUUGGUUUCUAGGAUCGACGUAAUGAUUAAUAGGGAUAGUUGGGGGCAUUAGUAUUCAAUUGUCAGAGGUGAAAUUCUUGGAUUUAUUGAAGACUAACUACUGCGAAAGCAUUUGCCAAGGAUGUUUUCAUUAAUCAAGAACGAAAGUUAGGGGAUCGAAGACGAUCAGAUACCGUCGUAGUCUUAACCAUAAACUAUGCCGACUAGGGAUCGGAUGAUGUUAAUUUUUUAAUGACUCAUUCGGCGCCUUACG
This 522-nucleotide ribosomal RNA is filed under the name uncultured Glomeraceae. RNAcentral's name for it is "SSU rRNA". It matches the Rfam family "Eukaryotic small subunit ribosomal RNA", at positions 569 to 1092 of the family's 1831-position model. Lineage: Eukaryota; Fungi; Glomeromycota; Glomeromycetes; Glomerales; Glomeraceae. The record is from RNAcentral.